AUUCAGCUGAUGAGUCCCAAAUAGGACGAAACGCGCAUCCUGGAU
RNAcentral lists this non-coding RNA (45 nucleotides) under Schistosoma mansoni. The record is from RNAcentral. Lineage: Eukaryota; Metazoa; Platyhelminthes; Trematoda; Strigeidida; Schistosomatidae.